GUGGCGAACGGGUGAGUAACACGUGGGCAAUCUGCCCUGCACUCUGGGACAAGCCCUGGAAACGGGGUCUAAUACCGGAUAUUGACCUUCACGGGCAUCUGUGAGGUUCGAAAGCUCCGGCGGUGCAGGAUGAGCCCGCGGCCUAUCAGCUUGUUGGUGAGGUAAUGGCUCACCAAGGCGACGACGGGUAGCCGGCCUGAGAGGGCGACCGGCCACACUGGGACUGAGACACGGCCCAGACUCCUACGGGAGGCAGCAGUGGGGAAUAUUGCACAAUGGGCGAAAGCCUGAUGCAGCGACGCCGCGUGAGGGAUGACGGCCUUCGGGUUGUAAACCUCUUUCAGCAGGGAAGAAGCGAAAGUGACGGUACCUGCAGAAGAAGCGCCGGCUAACUACGUGCCAGCAGCCGCGGUAAUACGUAGGGCGCAAGCGUUGUCCGGAAUUAUUGGGCGUAAAGAGCUCGUAGGCGGCUUGUCACGUCGGUUGUGAAAGCCCGGGGCUUAACCCCGGGUCUGCAGUCGAUACGGGCAGGCUAGAGUUCGGUAGGGGAGAUCGGAAUUCCUGGUGUAGCGGUGAAAU
Molecule: ribosomal RNA, 579 nt
Filed under: Streptomyces sp. I14A-01111
Lineage: Bacteria; Bacillati; Actinomycetota; Actinomycetes; Kitasatosporales; Streptomycetaceae
Description: bacterial SSU rRNA
Rfam family: Bacterial small subunit ribosomal RNA
Source: RNAcentral